GAUGAACGCUAGCGACAGUCUUAACACAUGCAAGUCGAGGGGCAGCAUUAUUUGUAGCAAUACAAAUAGAUGGCGACCGGCGCACGGGUGAGUAACGCGUAUGCAACCUACCUAUCAGAGGGGGAUAACCCGGCGAAAGUCGGACUAAUACCGCAUAAAACAGGGGUCCCGCAUGGGAAUAUUUGUUAAAGAUUAAUUGCUGAUAGAUGGGCAUGCGUUCCAUUAGAUAGUUGGUGAGGUAACGGCUCACCAAGUCUGCGAUGGAUAGGGGUUCUGAGAGGAAGGUCCCCCACACUGGUACUGAGACACGGACCAGACUCCUACGGGAGGCAGCAGUGAGGAAUAUUGGUCAAUGGGCGAGAGCCUGAACCAGCCAAGUCGCGUGAAGGAUGAAGGAUCUAUGGUUCGUAAACUUCUUUUAUAGGGGAAUAAAGUGCGGGACGUGUCCUGUUUUGUAUGUACCCUAUGAAUAAGGAUCGGCUAACUCCGUGCCAGCAGCCGCGGUAAUACGGAGGAUCCGAGCGUUAUCCGGAUUUAUUGGGUUUAAAGGGUGCGUAGGUGGCUUUUUAAGUCAGCGGUGAAAGUUUGUGGCUCAACCAUAAAAUUGCCGUUGAAACUGGGGGGCUUGAGUAUAUUUGAGGUAGGCGGAAUGCGUGGUGUAGCGGUGAAAUGCAUAGAUAUCACGCAGAACUCCAAUUGCGAAGGCAGCUUACUAAACUAUAACUGACACUGAAGCACGAAAGCGUGGGGAUCAAACAGG
RNAcentral lists this ribosomal RNA (760 nucleotides) under uncultured bacterium. RNAcentral describes it as "bacterial SSU rRNA". It matches the Rfam family "Bacterial small subunit ribosomal RNA", at positions 28 to 776 of the family's 1533-position model. The record is from RNAcentral.